CCUACGGGUGGCAGCAGUCGAGAAUCAUUCACAAUGGGGGAAACCCUGAUGGUGCGACGCCGCGUGGGGGAAUGAAGGUCUUCGGAUUGUAAACCCCUGUCAUGUGGGAGCAAAUUAAAAAGAUAGUACCACAAGAGGAAGAGACGGCUAACUCUGUGCCAGCAGCCGCGGUAAUACAGAGGUCUCAAGCGUUGUACGGAAUCACUGGGCGUAAAGCGUGCGUAGGCUGUUUCGUAAGUCGUGUGUGAAAGGCGCGGGCUCAACCCGCGGACGGCACAUGAUACUGCGAGACUAGAGUAGUGGAGGGGGAAGCGGAAUUCUCGGUGUAGCAGUGAAAUGCGUAGAUAUCGAGAGGAACACUCAUGGCGAAGGCGGGUUCCUGGACAUUAACUGACGCUGAGGCACGAAGGCCAGGGGAGCGAAAGGGAUUAGAUACCCGGGUAGUC
This 446-nucleotide ribosomal RNA is filed under the name uncultured bacterium. RNAcentral's name for it is "partial 16S ribosomal RNA". It matches the Rfam family "Bacterial small subunit ribosomal RNA", at positions 338 to 795 of the family's 1533-position model. The record is from RNAcentral.